UUCCUCGGUGAAAAAUAGCUAAAGGUUGAAGCGCUCACCUGCCCGGAUCACCUUUAUCCGGAUGCCUCUUCGGUCUGAGAUGCAGCACAGGUUUGAGAUAUCUCCACCGGGACUACUCGCAGUUGUUGAAGCACGGCUUACAGAAGUGACCACAUCUCCACCUUGAAAUGUCUCAGUGGAGUGGAGUUCAGAAGCCACAACAGAGCAACAGUCAGAGAAUGAUAGAACUGACCCUUCACGCCUCAAAUAAUGGCCUGCACAGCUCUUCAGAAACUAUGGGUGUCAACAAUCAAAGAGAGAUGGGAUGCUAACCUGCAACAUGUUUUUUGUAUAACUUGCCUUUGCACAUACCCUCAAUAGGGCUAGUAAGAAUUCCUUGUGAUAUUAAAAAUAUCUUACUUUCAAGAAGAUAUUUUAACAUACAAUGUUAGCUUGAUGUUUGUUACUUGAAAAUAAGACAUCAACUUCAAAAAGUUUUUUUAAAUCUUUAUAAUGUCCAGCUCUAUUUCACAAGGGUGAGUUAAGGUUGACACCAGGGUUUCAGUAAGAAAUGCUGUUAGUGAGCUUUCUUCUUCAAUUUUACAAAAAUUUCAAAUGCCAAGUGCGCUUUAAAUGUGAGGAUAUGUGGAAUAUUCAGGACAGUGUUGCCACAAUGAAUAAUAGGCAAAUUCAAUUGUUGUUGUUGUCGUUUUUAAUUAAUUAGGGUGAAUUUCUGGCAGUGCACAGAGACUGUUGUAAUCGGAGACAUCCACUUGUUUUAUUGACUCCAAUCUAUUCUGUGCACGAGUAUUUAAUGAACAAACACAUUCAUCUCCAGGUAGAUCCAGAAGAUAUGGGAUGGGAAAUGCCUGUCUGUGCAGCCACCCAAAUUAUGUUCCAGAAUAUAUACAUGGGUUCAUUUAAAACAGUUUUGCAACUUUUUGUUUAAAGAAAAAGACAAAAUAUUGUCACCAACUUCGUGAAGCACUGGACAAAUGUAAAUUCAUUCAUAUGAAAUGUACCUUAUCCAGGAAUGAUGUAGCCUAACUUGUCUAAUCAUUAGCCGCUUCACCUUUGGCCUUCUAUGCAUCUACGCUCCUACCUCUGCCUCUACCUGCAUGCAUUAUGGUGAUAAAGCCAUUAAUAUGAUGUGGAGGUAGAGGUCAUAAGCUACAGAUCACACACACAUCAAUAUUGCUCACACACUCACAUUUUCACUGCAGUAAUUCUUUUAUGAUUGAAUUAAAUGAGUCAUUGAGAUGUUGGUUAUGAUGCCUUUUCAAAUUCAUAUCACCACAGACUUGGAGGGUGGGUGUGGACCUAUGACGCUGAUAUACCAUGAGCACACACUCGCCCAAAGACGUUGUGUACACAGAUACCUUUCAGAUCAAGUGCUGAGACUAUGUCACAUUUAUGACCGUUGCAGCGGCUCCUGUUGAUCUUGGAUCUUCGCAGUCUGCUGUUCAGUUCAUGACGCCUGAACUUGUCCCUUAUCCAACAGUGCAGGUGCAGGGUUCUCUUUUCAGGAUAGAGAUGUGCAGCCGAUUUUAUGCCAGGUGUGAAACUGAUUUUUUUUUUCUUUUUUCUGUGCACUUUUCAUUGCUUAAUUGUUUUGUGAAAUUCUGGGUUAAUUUAUUCAUAAUUUAAAGGACAAGUGAUAUUGUGUGGUCUAGAUGCUGCUUGAGAAGCUUUUUCUGCCCUGCUGUGAAGGAAAUUGUAGGAAAUAAUGACAUGGCCUAUUCAAUUUAUAGCGGAGAGUUAGAUGAGAAGUUUGAUACCACCAAACAUAAGGCAGCCAGCAGCCAGUUAGCAUAGCUUAGCAAAAAUACUGGAAAAGGGGGGUAACCGCUAGCCUGGCUCUGGGCAAUGGUAACAAAUUCUGUCUACCAGCACCUGUAAAGCUCACAAUUCUCCGUUUUAUAGGGGGCUUAUGUGGCGGACUAUUUUUUUGGCUGGAGCAGUAGCUUCUUGGAGUCUCCGCUGGUUGCCUGGCAACUGCUCAGAGCCAAGAAAUAGUCCAGCACAUAACAGCCUGAAAAUGAAGAAUUGUAAUUUUCACACUUUGGUUUUUGUACAGAUUAAACAAACAAAAUAUAACAUGUUAAUUAGUGAGCUAGGCUGUUGCCAGUCUUUAUGCUAAGCUAUGCUAACCAGUAGCUGGCUGUAGCUUUAUAUUUAACUCUCCGCCAUUAAGCAGAACUUAAACUUUAAACUGAUCAUAUGUAACAAAAGCAAAAACACAAAAUAUUGUUUGCAAAACAUACCAUGAUCAUUUUUUCUUUCCCCUUUUUUCCUUUCUUGGUGGGGAUUGUUUUACUUUGUCAUGUACUGUCUCUAGAAAAUUCAUAUGUAUAUUUACGUUACUAUUAUUCAUGACAUCAGCAACAUGUUGUACAAAUGUAGUUGGAGUGUAAUACACAGCAAAAUGGAAGCGUUCACGAUAAUUUUUUACAGCCCCGCUGUAUAUUAGUAUCAGCCAUGUACGUAACAGCACACUACAUGUUGUCCUAUGGGGCUCCCUGGGGAAGUCAUGACAACAAUGGUUUUUCCUUUGUCUGUCCCUAAGCCCUUGUCCAAAACACAACUUGAUUUGGGCAUAAAUCCCCACUGACAGCCUCCAUAGAGUUGCUGCUGCUGUUGACAAUAAACAAGCAGUGAAAGUGUAUAUGACCACGCCAUAAAGGCUGUAAGUGGAUUGUGGUAUUACACAUUGAUUGCACUGACCAUUUCCGAGCAAUUAUUGUACCAUAAUUCAAACUGAUAUUGAGGGGACAAUUAGUGUGCUGUAGUUUUUACACCCAACAAUGUCCAAAUUGAUGCAAAACAGCUAAAUGGAACCUAAAUUGGAAAAUCAUAGCUUUUAACAAUCUGAUGAGUUGCGAAAAAAGGGUGGAAUAGCUAAAAGUGAUUAAAUCAUGAAUAAAUCAUCUCCCAUUCAA
Molecule: long non-coding RNA, 2918 nt
Organism: Siniperca chuatsi (mandarin fish)
Lineage: Eukaryota; Metazoa; Chordata; Actinopteri; Centrarchiformes; Sinipercidae
Exons: 2
Source: RefSeq, a predicted model, not a curated record